CCAAAGGCCCUUUUAAGGGCCACCCACUUUCGCAUAGAAAGAGCUG
Molecule: regulatory RNA element, 46 nt
Organism: Pelodiscus sinensis (Chinese soft-shelled turtle)
Lineage: Eukaryota; Metazoa; Chordata; Testudines; Trionychidae
Rfam family: Histone 3' UTR stem-loop
About the family: The mRNAs of metazoan histone genes lack a poly-A tail. 3' end processing occurs at a site between a highly conserved stem-loop (modelled by this family) and a purine rich region around 20 nts downstream (the histone downstream element, or HDE). The stem-loop is bound by a 31 kDa stem-loop binding protein (SLBP - also termed the histone hairpin binding protein, or HBP).
Source: Rfam